Long non-coding RNA from Coregonus clupeaformis (lake whitefish), 1435 nucleotides. RefSeq lists it as uncharacterized. The transcript is spliced from 4 exons. The record is from RefSeq and is a predicted model, not a curated record. Lineage: Eukaryota; Metazoa; Chordata; Actinopteri; Salmoniformes; Salmonidae.
ACUGGAUGGAGACUGAUGAGCUACAGAGAGAGAGGAGUGAAGUCAGGGUGUGUCUCUAACUGGGGAUCAAUAACAGGGUCCACAUGUACCAUCAGCUACACAUACACAUGGUCCAGUGGAGUGUUCUGGUGUGAGUCUGGAUCAGGAGAGUACAGUAAUGCUGUCAACAUCACAGUAAAUGCUGGUGAUGUGAUCCUGGAGAGCCCUGUCCAUCCCGUAACUGAAGGAGACUCUCUGACUCUGAGCUGUAAAUACCGGAAAGUCAGCUCAAACUUCAAAGCUGAUUUCUACAAAAAUUGAGUACUCAUCAAGAAUGAGACCACAGGAGAGAUGACCAUCCCUACAGUAUCCAAGUCAGAUGAAGGAUUCUAUAAGUGUACAUCUGGUCAAGGGGAGUCACCAGAGAGCCAGGUGACAGUGAGAGUCCCUCCAGGUUCCAUUGUCUCCAUCUCUCUGCCCAGGCUGCUGUGUGGUCUACUGGUGAUGUCUCCCUUUCUACUGGUGUCCAUCGUGCUGACGGUGAAAUGCUGCAGGGCUCGAGGUUUGUGUUCAACAGUCAAAUCUCCUCAAGACCAGAUACAAUGUGAUGAUGUCAUCGAACAGAACAAAUCAUCAGUGUGAACAUUACAGUAUGAACUGUAAGCUGAACAACUAUUAUUAUGAUUGUAAAGUUUUUACGGUUGAUGUAUGAUAGUGUUUACUGAGUUGAAUAUUACUGAAUAGAAUCUCACAAAUGCUGAAUGUUAUGAUUUUGUAAGUUGACAUUUUCAUCUUUUGGUGGCUUGUAUGCUUUCCUUUGUAAUUAUUGAUUGAUGUUUAUUUUUCUUGUAAUAUUACACUUAUUACACUGUCUUUAUUUCAGUUUGUUAAUUAAACACGAGUGUGGUGCCUGUUUUUGUUUAAAAGUAUAAUUUGCUGCAUUCUUUGAAUAUUUUGUAUUUUAGAUAAUGUCAUGCUUCUUACAUGCAAGUGGAUAUAUACAGUACGUGAAACUUUUCAGCUUUUAAUUCGAAUUUAAAAUAUUAAAGAUGUGUUUAUACUUGGUUGGUUGACCUACUAUAACAGUUAAGAUGGAACAUGUAGAUAUAGUUUGUUAUUAAAAAUGUAUAUUUACAUAAUGCAGCUUUAAUGCUUAUUUUUAUAUUAAAGGUAGACUCAGCGAAACGUCGUUGCCACGAGUGGCACUGCAGAUAUUGGGAAGAGGGAGAUGCAAUACUUCACUCUCACACAAUCACACACAGUAUCUGCGCAUAUGUACGGGUUCGCUUCACGCUGUUCAAUUUGACAGCAGAUAUACAUUUUCAACAUGUAAGUAUUUUGUCAAAUGGUUUCAGUUGUUGUUAAAGGAGCCAGAUGAGUGUUCCACUAUGAAACAUAAAAUGGAAAAGGUGUGUUGUAUUUUGUAUUAAUUCUCAUGUGUCAAUUAAAAAGUGCU